UGGCCAUGCUCCUUCUGAUCUCCUCGGAGGUCUUAGCCACUAGUGGUGGUGCGGGUAACUUUGGUGGUGGUAACCCUAGUGUUGGUGGUGGAUUACCUGGUGGUGGUGGUGGUGAUGUUGGAUUACCUGGUGGUGGUCGUGGUGGAUUCCCUAUUGGUGGUGAUGUUGGAUUACCUGGUGGUGGUCGUGGUGGAUUCCCUGUUGGUGGUGGUGUUGGAUUACCUGGUGGUGGUCGUGGUGGAUUCCCGAUUGGUGGUGGUGUUGGAUCACCUGGUGGUGGUGGUCGUCGUGGUGGACUACCUGUUGGUGGUGGUGUUGGAUUCCCUGUUGGAGGUGGCAGUGGCUUCCCGGGCAUUGUUGGUACCUUCCCUAGUGGUGGUGGCACCCCUCGUGGUCGUG
This 399-nucleotide long non-coding RNA is filed under the name Glycine max (soybean). RNAcentral describes it as "long non-coding RNA (GMAX_LNC003113)". Lineage: Eukaryota; Viridiplantae; Streptophyta; Magnoliopsida; Fabales; Fabaceae. The record is from RNAcentral.